AGUUUGAUCCUGGCUCAGGAUGAACGCUAGCGGCAGGCUUAACACAUGCAAGUCGAGGGGCAGCGGGGAGGAAGCUUGCUUUCUCCGCCGGCGACCGGCGCACGGGUGAGUAACACGUAUGCAACCUGCCCCUGUCAGGGGGACAACCCGCCGAAAGGCGGGCUAAACCCGCGUACAUGCCACCGGGGCAUCCCGGAGGCAGGAAAGGCUUCGGCCGGACAGGGAUGGGCAUGCGGCGCAUUAGGCAGUAGGCGGGGUAACGGCCCACCUAACCGACGAUGCGUAGGGGUUCUGAGAGGAAGGUCCCCCACACUGGUACUGAGACACGGACCAGACUCCUACGGGAGGCAGCAGUGAGGAAUAUUGGUCAAUGGUCGGGAGACUGAACCAGCCAAGCCGCGUGAGGGAGGAAGGUACAGAGUAUCGUAAACCUCUUUUGUCAGGGAACAAAGGCGGGGACGUGUCCCCGGAUGAGUGUACCUGAAGAAAAAGCAUCGGCUAACUCCGUGCCAGCAGCCGCGGUAAUACGGAGGAUGCGAGCGUUAUCCGGAUUUAUUGGGUUUAAAGGGUGCGCAGGCGGUCUGUUAAGUCAGCGGUCAAAGCCCGGGGCUCAACCCCGGCCCGCCGUUGAAACUGGCAGUCUCGAGUUGGAGAGAAGUAUGCGGAAUGCGCGGUGUAGCGGUGAAAUGCAUAGAUAUCGCGCAGAACUCCGAUUGCGAAGGCAGCAUGCCGGCUCCACACUGACGCUGAAGCUCGAAAGCGCGGGGAUCGAACAGGAUUAGAUACCCUGGUAGUCCGCACAGUAAACGAUGGAUGCCAGCUGUCCGGGCCGAAUGGGGCCUGUGUGGCAAAGCGAAAGCGUUAAGCAUCCCACCUGGGGAGUACGCCGGCAACGGUGAAACUCAAAGGAAUUGACGGGGGCCCGCACAAGCGGAGGAACAUGUGGUUUAAUUCGAUGAUACGCGAGGAACCUUACCCGGGCUCAAACGCGUCAGGGAUCCCCUCUGAAAGGAGGGGAGUCAGCAAUGACCUGGCGCGAGGUGCUGCAUGGUUGUCGUCAGCUCGUGCCGUGAGGUGUCGGCUUAAGUGCCAUAACGAGCGCAACCCCUACCGACAGUUGCUAACUGGUGAAGCAGAGGACUCUGUCGGGACUGCCGGCGCAAGCUGCGAGGAAGGCGGGGAUGACGUCAAAUCAGCACGGCCCUUACGUCCGGGGCGACACACGUGUUACAAUGGCAGGUACAGCGGGAAGCCACCGGGCGACCGGGCGCGGAACCCGAAAACCUGUCUCAGUUCGGAUCGGAGUCUGCAACCCGACUCCGUGAAGCUGGAUUCGCUAGUAAUCGCGCAUCAGCCACGGCGCGGUGAAUACGUUCCCGGGCCUUGUACUCACCGCCCGUCA
This 1402-nucleotide ribosomal RNA is filed under the name uncultured bacterium. RNAcentral's name for it is "16S ribosomal RNA". It matches the Rfam family "Bacterial small subunit ribosomal RNA". The record is from RNAcentral.